GAGGAAGUAAAAGUCGUAACAAGGUUUCCGUAGGUGAACCUGCGGAAGGAUCAUUACUGAAGUAUCAAUGACAAGUUGUUGCUGGUUUUCGUGCACGCUUGUUGUUCUUCAUUUCUCCAUCAUUCGUGCACCACUUGUGUGGAUCAUUAGGACUGCUUUGCAAAGUUACUAUUCGUGGGGCUUUCCUUGGAUCUACAUGUUUUUGUCACAUACACCAAUGUUUAGAAGGAAAAGUUGAAAUUAUUAUACAACUUUCAGCAACGGAUCUCUUGGCUCUCGCAUCGAUGAAGAACGCAGCGAAAUGCGAUAAGUAAUGUGAAUUGCAGAAUUCAGUGAAUCAUCGAAUCUUUGAACGCAUCUUGCGCUCCUUGGUAUUCUGAGGAGCAUGCCUGUUUGAGUGUCAUUAAUAUCUCAACCACUUUCAUUAUGUGGCUUGGACUUGGAGGGAUGUGCAGGCUCAUAGUCUGCUCCUCUAAAAAAUAUGAGCGGUACCUGUAUUGGAACUUUCGCUAGGUGUGAUACAUAUCUGCAUCUAAUAAAAGGUUACCCAUUGGUUAUGCUGCCGAUUGUUACGACUUGAUAAACUUGACCUCAAUCAGGUAGGACCACCCGCUGAACUUAA
This 622-nucleotide ribosomal RNA is filed under the name Inosperma geraniodorum. RNAcentral describes it as "eukaryotic LSU rRNA". The stretch from base 250 to 403 matches the Rfam family "5.8S ribosomal RNA". Lineage: Eukaryota; Fungi; Basidiomycota; Agaricomycetes; Agaricales; Inocybaceae. The record is from RNAcentral.